RNAcentral lists this small nuclear RNA (22 nucleotides) under Arabidopsis thaliana (thale cress). RNAcentral's name for it is "snRNA_06573". Lineage: Eukaryota; Viridiplantae; Streptophyta; Magnoliopsida; Brassicales; Brassicaceae. The record is from RNAcentral.
AACUCGUUGUCUAUCAACCAGU